Molecule: ribosomal RNA, 437 nt
Filed under: uncultured bacterium
Lineage: Bacteria
Description: partial 16S ribosomal RNA
Rfam family: Bacterial small subunit ribosomal RNA
Source: RNAcentral
GAUGAACGCUGGCGGCAUGCUUAACACAUGCUAGUCGAACGGGAAGUGGUGUUUCCAGUGGCGAACGGGUGAGUAACGCGUAAGAACCUGCCCUUGGGAGGGGAACAACAACUGGAAACGGUUGCUAAUACCCCGUAGGCUGAGGAGCAAAAGGAGAAAUCCGCCCAAGGAGGGGCUCGCGUCUGAUUAGCUAGUUGGUGAGGUAAUAGCUUACCAAGGCGAUGAUCAGUAGCUGGUCCGAGAGGAUGAUCAGCCACACUGGGACUGAGACACGGCCCAGACUCCUACGGGAGGCAGCAGUGGGGAAUUUUCCGCAAUGGGCGAAAGCCUGACGGAGCAAUGCCGCGUGGAGGUGGAAGGCCUACGGGUCGUCAACUUCUUUUCUCGGAGAAGAAACAAUGACGGUAUCUGAGGAAUAAGCAUCGGCUAACUCUGUG